CUGAGUGCAAGAACCUAUGGGUCUGUAGUGGAAAUGCUAAGUCAUGGCCUGAACCAGUGAUGGAGAACCUGGUGGGAAGGCAGGGCCAACCCAGGGGAGCUCAGGUGCAUGCAAUGAACUUGGGUGACCAGAAGGGGUGGAGCCAGGAUCCACCCCUUCCUAGACUCAUUUAACGGUUGGCAGUGGAGACAAGGGUAUUUUGCUGGUGAGGCCUGCAUCUGGGGGGCCUUUUGAAGCUUUCUGCCCCUUCUGUUUGGCCACCAGCACCAUCUGCUGCCCCAGCCCUUCAUGCUUUGAAGAUGCAGCAGCAGCUUGGAGCAUCACACUUGCAUGCUUGCAGACAUCCCAUGAGGAACAGCACCUGGUGGUCUUCAUCUCCCCUCCUCAGAAGGUGUGUGAGCAAUCCAACCUGUGCCUUCGGCAUCAUGGAACAGUGUGCCCAGGGAGGUGGUGGAGUUACUGUCCCUGAAGGACAGACAGAGAGACAGCAGCUGGGAUGCAGCCACCUGGGGAGAUGCCCGCCUGCUGCAGACAGACAGCUGGCUCUGCGGAUGGACAGACAAGUGUCGAACUCUUUGACAUGCUUGAAAAGCCCUCUGGAAGCCUCUAUCAGCUCUGGAGGUGGUCACCCACCUGCUAAUACUGGGGGACAUUUGGGCUGCCCAGGUGAUGGGACCUUCUUCUAGAACUGUAAAUAAAUAAACCCUGCUGGGACCUGAGGCACAGGUUCGGAGGAGAAGCAGAACUUGUUGUGCAAGUUGCAACGUGGUGCUAAGUAAGGUGGGGGAGCUGCACUAUAUGUAUAUUUUAUAAUACAUGGAAAGUGACUUUUAAAGGAUCUCAGGUGAUGUUGUGAUGACAAGUGGACCCAAAACUGCCCUGAAACUCAGUUACUGCUAUCUGGUGUUGCUUGGAAGUGUAGAGGUUUAAUCAUGGAAUCAUAGAGUAGUUUGAGUUGGAAGAGACCCUUAAAGUUCAUCUAGUCCAACCCCCCCACAAUGAGCAGGGACACCCACAGCUCCAUCAGGUGCUCACAGCCCCAUCCAGCCUGACCUUGAGUGUCUCCAGGGAUGGGGCACCACCACCUCUCUGGGCAACCUGAGCCAGUACCUCACUGCCCUCGCUGUAAAAAACUUUUUCCUUAUCCAAUCUAAAUCUCCCCUCUUUUCAUUUGAAACCAUUUGCCUUGUACUGUCACAACAGAUCCUGCUAAAUAGUCUGUCCCUUUCUUUCCUAUAGCCCCCUUAGAUACCAAAGUCAUUCUGCUUGUCUCUCCUGUUCUCUCCAUCCCUUCCGUUUGCUGCCUUUUUCCCUCCGGCUCCUGCUUAGCCGUGCGGAUCCAUGUCUCCUGCUGCUCUGUCCUGCUGGAACUUGUGCCUGGUUCCUGCUCUUCCUCCUGUAUCUCCCAUGCAAACAUGCCUCUCUUUUCUGAUGGCCUGUAAAGCACCAGAGCAAGGGAAGGGGGUAAUAUCACAUUCAGAUACUUACAAUGAAGAAGCCUUCAGUACUCUAAAGCUCCAGUGUGCAAGAUGCACACACACACACACACACACACACACACACACACAAAAUGGGAUACAUCUCAAAAACUUUUUAAGUUGCAAAUUUUUCAAUACCAAGACCAAGGGAUCUCAGUCUUGGAUACUCAAUAGGCAAGAGACAUAGGAGAUGAGAGGCAGAAAAUACCAUCAUAGACAAUGGCUAAUGGUCACCCAGGAGGUUGUUGUAAGGUGUGGAAGGCAGAUGGACAGUUUUGACCCAGCAAGAGUGAGUGGAAGCCCACAUUUCAGUGCUUGGUGGACCACCAAUAUAUAGUCUUAAAUACAUGUUCGAGUAUCCCAGUAACCCAGAGUCCUGGCCUCCAUUUAAACCCCCCCACCUCUUAUCAAACCUGGCAGCAUGAAAAAAAGAGGAAAAGCAGAAUGUCUCCAUAUGGGAGGCAUCACUGCAAAAGCAGAACUGGGGGGAAAAGAAAGAGAAAAUGAGUGAAUGAGUGAGGACAGAAGAGCUCAUUUUUGUCUAUUGAAAAGAUUCUGUUUAAUAAAAAAUUGAUGACAUUUUAGUCACUGAGAUAGGCCUG
Molecule: long non-coding RNA, 2080 nt
Organism: Numida meleagris (helmeted guineafowl)
Lineage: Eukaryota; Metazoa; Chordata; Aves; Galliformes; Numididae
Exons: 3
Source: RefSeq, a predicted model, not a curated record